Molecule: ribosomal RNA, 401 nt
Filed under: uncultured bacterium
Lineage: Bacteria
Description: bacterial SSU rRNA
Rfam family: Bacterial small subunit ribosomal RNA
Source: RNAcentral
GGGGAAUCUUGCGCAAUGGGCGAAAGCCUGACGCAGCAACGCCGCGUGCGGGAUGAAGGCCUUCGGGUUGUAAACCGCUUUCAGCAGGAACGAAAAUGACGGUACCUGCAGAAGAAGGUCCGGCCAACUACGUGCCAGCAGCCGCGGUAACACGUAGGGGCCAAGCGUUGUCCGGAUUUAUCGGGCGUAAAGAGCUCGUAGGCGGUUCGGUAAGUCGGGUGUGAAAACUCUGGGCUCAACCCAGAGACGCCACCCGAUACUGCUGUGACUAGAGUCCGGUAGGGGAGUGGGGAAUUCCUGGUGUAGCGGUGAAAUGCACAGAUAUCAGGAGGAACACCGGUGGCGAAGGCGCCACUCUGGGCCGGUACUGACGCUGAGGAGCGAAAGCGUGGGUAGCAAAC